RNAcentral lists this ribosomal RNA (742 nucleotides) under uncultured bacterium. Its description in RNAcentral is "bacterial SSU rRNA". It matches the Rfam family "Bacterial small subunit ribosomal RNA", at positions 94 to 823 of the family's 1533-position model. The record is from RNAcentral.
AGCGGCGGACGGGCGAGUAACACGUGGGUAACCUGCCCAAGAGACUGGGAUAACACCUGGAAACAGAUGCUAAUACCGGAUGACAACACUAGACGCAUGUCUAGAGUUUGAAAGAUGGUUCUGCUAUCACUCUUGGAUGGACCUGCGGUGCAUUAGCUAGUUGGUAAGGUAACGGCUUACCAAGGCAAUGAUGCAUAGCCGAGUUGAGAGACUGAUCGGCCACAUUGGGGCUGAGACACGGCCCAAACUCCUACGGGAGGCAGCAGUAGGGAAUCUUCCACAAUGGACGAAAGUCUGAUGGAGCAACGCCGCGUGAGUGAAGAAGGGUUUCGGCUCGUAAAGCUCUGUUGGUAGUGAAGAAAGAUAGAGGUAGUAACUGGCCUUUAUUUGACGGUAAUUACUCAGAAAGUCACGGCUAACUACGUGCCAGCAGCCGCGGUAAUACGUAGGUGGCAAGCGUUGUCCGGAUUUAUUGGGCGUAAAGCGAGUGCAGGCGGUUCAAUAAGUCUGAUGUGAAAGCCUUCGGCUCAACCGGAGAAUUGCAUCAGAAACUGUUGAACUUGAGUGCAGAAGAGGAGAGUGGAACUCCAUGUGUAGCGGUGGAAUGCGUAGAUAUAUGGAAGAACACCAGUGGCGAAGGCGGCUCUCUGGUCUGCAACUGACGCUGAGGCUCGAAAGCAUGGGUAGCGAACAGGAUUAGAUACCCUGGUAGUCCAUGCCGUAAACGAUGAGUGCUAAGUGU